Molecule: ribosomal RNA, 484 nt
Filed under: uncultured bacterium
Lineage: Bacteria
Description: partial 16S ribosomal RNA
Rfam family: Bacterial small subunit ribosomal RNA
Source: RNAcentral
GACGAACGCUGGCGGCGUGCUUAACACAUGCAAGUCGAACGAUGAACCCGGAGCUUGCUCCGGUGGAUUAGUGGCGAACGGGUGAGUAACACGUGAGUAACCUGCCCUUGACUCUGGGAUAACUGCGGGAAACUGUAGCUAAUACCGGAUACUUUCACCGGAAGGCAUCUUCUGGUGAUGAAAGAAUUUCGGUCAGGGAUGAGCUCGCGGCCUAUCAGCUUGUUGGUGAGGUAACGGCUCACCAAGGCGACGACGGGUAGCCGGCCUAAGAGGGUGACCGGCCACACUGGGACUGAGACACGGCCCAGACUCCUACGGGAGGCAGCAGUGGGGAAUAUUGCACAAUGGGCGCAAGCCUGAUGCAGCAACGCCGCGUGAGGGAUGAAGGCCUUCGGGUUGUAAACCUCUUUUAGCAGGGAAGAAGCGAAAGUGACGGUACCUGCAGAAAAAGCACCGGCUAACUACGUGCCAGCAGCCGCCGUAA